Long non-coding RNA from Hyaena hyaena (striped hyena), 469 nucleotides. RefSeq lists it as uncharacterized. The record is from RefSeq and is a predicted model, not a curated record. Lineage: Eukaryota; Metazoa; Chordata; Mammalia; Carnivora; Hyaenidae. The transcript has 2 exons.
UUGGGAAUUUUUUUGGCUUGCUGCUUUCCAGUGGUAAUUUCCUCAUCCUUGUGAAGAUUCUUUCCAUGUGACCACAGAUCUGUACUCAGUAAUGAUUCAAGGGGAAUAUUCGGCACUUCAAUGGAUGAGUUAACUACUACAGAGCAGGACUCUCCCUCUUUUCUGCUUCCUCCACUUCAGUAUUUUGCUGCUUAAAUUCUAAGCUACUCAGCCUCUCUGAACUCAAAGUUUUGUCUCCUCAACUCAGUUUUUAGCUGAGACCUCCCUGUGAUUAAAGAAAUUAACAAGAGAAGAACAAAGAAAAAUUGAAUAACAUGUAUAUCUCCUGUAUACAUGGGAGAUACCCAGGAAAACUGAGUAAUUCUCCCAAAUGGUCCAAGUCAUCACCUUAAAUACCAUCUUCAACUAAAGACAAAAGAAGAUAUUGUGGAUGGGGAGUCAGUCUGGGGAGCUUUCCAUGUAAAGCAGA